CAGUACUCAAACGCACCAACAGCUGGGCUGCAGCGACCUAUCGGCUGGGCAUAACAAAAACAAAUGCGCCCGGCGCCCUUAAUUAAUUAGUGGUACAUAUCUUGUAUUAUACGUUGAAGGCGCUGGGUAUCAAGCGCUUGUCGAACCUGGAGCACUGCAGAAAGGUCACGAAGAGAAGAAUCCAUAUUCCGAAGCCUUUUUUCGUAUUUCCCCUUCUUGUACAAGUUCCAGCGACGGAUGCUUGAG
RNAcentral lists this long non-coding RNA (246 nucleotides) under Citrus maxima (pomelo). Its description in RNAcentral is "long non-coding RNA (CMAX_LNC003035)". The record is from RNAcentral. Lineage: Eukaryota; Viridiplantae; Streptophyta; Magnoliopsida; Sapindales; Rutaceae.